GGCGGAGAAAAAAAUCUGUUGCUGCUAAAAUUCUCCCCUGAAGGCAGACAGGUGCUACCUUUGCCUUGGUUUCCCCUCUUGGAGUCUCCUCCAGGCCCCCCUCCCCUUGACCUGGACCUAUGCCCUCCUCUCAAUCCCUGGUCCAAGGCAGAAGUAAAAAGAAAGCAGCUCCGAAUUUAUUUAAUUACCCUCUUAGCCUGUCUUUUCCUUUGCAAUGCAUUUUUACUCAUGUUUUAGACCUAAUAUUACAAAGUGCUGAGCUGAAGGGAAAACAAUAAGGAAGGAAAGCCAAACGCUUUUACCCGAUCAGUAUGACUCCUUAGCGAAAAAGGCGCUUUCUCAGGAUCAUCUCCUACUUUGUACUGCAGGCUGCCUGGCGUUCCUGCCUGGCGCAGACCUCUAUCUAGAACUUACUGAAUUGCAUUGUAAGCAGAGGCUUGUGCCCACUACUCCUGGGCUCCUUAUGCACAGGGAUUGUGCCCUCUUCCACCCAGUGCUGCUUCAAACAGUGCUUGGUUAGACUGGGAGUUUGGGGUUAGUAGAUGCAAACUAUUAUAUUCAGAAUGGAUGAACAACAAGAUCCUACUGCAUAGCACAGGGAGCUAUGUCCAAUCCCCUGGGAUAGACCAUGAUGGAAAUGAAUAAUUUUUUUUAAAUGUAUAUAAAUGCAUGACUGAGUCACUUUGCUGUAUAGCAGGAAUUGGGCACGACAUUGUAAAUCAACUAUACAUUAAUAUAAAUAAAUAAAUAAAAAACAAACAAGCAAACAGACAAGCUCACAGUGUUUGGCUCCCAGUAAACACUUAAUAGGUUUGUCUGGUAUUGCAUACAAGCUUGCAUGCAAGAAAAAAGAUCUGCGAAUUCUAAAAACCAGAAGGGGCUCGGUGGUAAUGAACCCGACUACUAUCCAUGAGGAUGUGGGUUAGUUAGAUCCCUGGCCUCGCCCAGUGGGUUAAGGAUCCAGCUUUCCUGUGAGCUGUGGUGUAGGUUGCAGAUGCUGCUCGGAUCCGGCAUUGCUAUGGCUGUGGCCUAGGCUGGCGGCUAUAGCUCUUAUUUGAUUCCUUAGCCUGGGAACCUCCAUAUGCCUCAGGUGCGGCCCUAAAAAGGUCAACGGCAACAAAAAAAAUUUGCACGGAGAUAUUAGUGCAACUAAAACAAUAAGAGCUUGAUUAUUUUGAAGUGUCCAGUGAUGGAUGGAUGUAUAAUAAGUUUUUCUUAGUCUCAUUUUAGCUUCCGUCUUCCCACCGCUUUGAGAACAAGGGAAAACAAUGUCCCUUGAAUUUCGAUUAACUCCCUCCGUUUUGUGUAUUAAGGUAGGCAUAUACAUGUCCCAGGAAUUAAUGGGCAGAGAGAAUUAGAAGAACCCUCAGCUGGCCCAUAGGAAGCUAAACAUCAGCAAGGCAGCCUGGUAAGAUAAAAUCACCUUUUUUUUUUUUGGUAAACUUCGAUGGCCUUUGAUUUCAUGGCUUCUAGAAAUUUAUGAGGCACUCCAUAGGUUAGACAUCAGCACCAGCUUUAGGCCCUUUAUUUUAUCUCAGCCAAUAUUGCUUUAAUUCCCUCCAGAGUGGCAUUGCUCACUAGAAACUUUGGCAGAGAUGGAAAUAUUUCCGGGGCAGCAAUCGCUGGCCUCCCAAGGCUGUUGAACAUGUGAAAUGUGACUAAUACAACAGAAGACCUGAGUUUUAAUUAAGUUAAACUAAAAUUGAAGUUGAAAUAACCUUUUGUGUCCAGAGGGUACGAACUGAACAGCACAGCUCUAGAGAUUAAUGAGUAUUAGGCUGUCCUCUCCAUGUGUGCUAGCCUCCCUGGACUGCACAUGUUUGCAGUGCAAUGAACCGGGUCUUUUCUUUUUUCCUUUUUUGCCCAUGCCUGUGGCAGGAGGAAAUGCCCAGGCCAGGGAUCCAACUCGAGCCACAGAAGCAACAAUGACAAAUCCUUAACCGUUAGGCCACCAGGAAACUCCAUUGAACUCCAAGACCUGUCUUGCAAAUUAAAACUAUUUUGACCUGGAGUUAGCAUGUGCCUAAAUGUGUUUAUUAUAGCCAGAACUAUAAUAAGCAUUCUAUUAUAUGUGUAUAAUUGUAUGUAAAUGUAUGCAUAUGAAAGUCAGCACCUGCUACCAUAAUAAAAUAUCCUAGACUGGGUGUCUCAAACAAAAGAAAUUUACCCCUCAUAGUUCCUGAGGUUGAGAAGGCCAAGAUCAAGGUGUCAGCAUGGUCGGGUCAUGAUGAGAGCCCUCUUCCAAGUCUGCAGAUGGCCCGUUUCUUACUUCAGCCUCCCAUGUUGGAGAGAGAGCAAGUCUGGUCUUGCUCCCUUUUUAUAAUGGCACUCAUCCUCUCAGGGGGACCUUACUCUCAUGACCUCAUCUAAACCUGAUUAUCUCCCAAAGGCUCCAUCUCCAAGCACCGGCUCACAAUUCAGCCCACAGCAAUACAUACACACACACACACACACACACGCACACACCCUGUAAGUUUAACAGUGUCCUAUAAAGUGUAACAGUGCUAUAAAGUUCUAGUUUUUUUUCAUGAUCACUAUUCCAAUGCAGUAGCAAUUUGAUUUAAAGUCAUCUAAUAAACAAUUCUUUAAAAAGAAAAACACGGAGUUCCCCUUGUGACUUGGUGGUAAUGUACCCAACUAGUAUCCAUGAGGAGUCAGGUUGAUCCAUGGGCUCUAUCAGUGGGUCAAAUGACCCGAUGUUGCUGUAGCUGUGGUGUAGGUUGAAGAUGCACCUUAAUUUGACCCCUAGCCUGGAAACUUCCAUAUGGCAUGGGAGCGGCCCUAAAGAGAGACACACACACACACAUACACACACACACACGCAGAAAGAAAGUUGCUCCUACUGCGCCAGUGCUCACUGGCUAAGCUGGCACUGAGAGAGCUCAGGGCAGAGCAGAAAGCUGUGCAGUGAGAUCUGAGGGAUCCAGAAACACUCCCCUCUGAAAAUGCCUCCUUGCAUGGGGGUUAUGGAAUGCAAGGUGGCUGAUUAAAAAUGUAAGUGAUUUCUAGAGAGGAUAAUAUAAAGGUCCAUUUAUCGUCUCCCAGAAUCUCAAAACUCUCAAAACCAUCUCUGUUCUCUCAAAUGGAUUUUUUUAAUCUGCAAAAACUUUCUUUUAGAACAAUGUUACAUGGAAGCCUGUCAUAAAACUGAAAUGGAUACAGAACUGAGAGGCAGGAACAGAAGCUCCAGCACCAUGUGUCCCCGGAACAAAGGCUAAGAAACUCCCAGGACACUUUGGAAACUGAUUUCAAACAAAGAAUAUUCAAUACAUGUAAGAAAAAAAACCCAGAAAGAUCCCAGGGUUAAAGAACAGCAGGGCCUGGUGGUCCCUCUGCUAUACCCAAUGCACUGCAGGGAGUCAACCUACCAUGUCAUUCAUCUGUGGAAUAGAUCUACAUUUUCCAUUGUAUAUAGAUAUAUAUAUUCCAUAUAUAAUCUACAGAUAUUAUAUAUAAGGUGGAAUAUUACUUAGUCAUCAAAAAGAAAAAAUCAUGUAAUUUGUGACAACAUGGAUGAACCUUGAAGGCAUUAUGCUAAGUGAAAUAAAUCAGACAGGGAAAGACAAUUACCGAAUGAUCUCAUUAUAUAUGGAAUC
Molecule: long non-coding RNA, 3596 nt
Filed under: Sus scrofa (pig)
Lineage: Eukaryota; Metazoa; Chordata; Mammalia; Artiodactyla; Suidae
Description: lncRNA (ENSSSCG00000059822.1)
Source: RNAcentral